Uranotaenia lowii is the source of this 902-nucleotide long non-coding RNA. RefSeq lists it as uncharacterized. The record is from RefSeq and is a predicted model, not a curated record. The transcript is spliced from 4 exons. Lineage: Eukaryota; Metazoa; Arthropoda; Insecta; Diptera; Culicidae.
GUUUGAAAUGAUAACAAUUGAAAUAGGAAUUGUUGUGACUAGAUCGAGUAAAUAAUAAAAAUAGGCUCCAAUUAAGUUGUCCGUUUGCUGGACAAUCGAAUUAAGAUCGUUUUUCAUCGGAAAUUGCCUGGCUGCUUCGGUCCUGACUUGUGGGUCACCGUCGAGGGGGGGUGAUACCUUUACGUGCCGUUGCUGCUCUGCUGCCGUGGAUGAUGGAUGACGGCCACGAAAUGCUGCGCAAAAGUGUCACACCAGCUCAAGUUAUAUACCACUACAGCAUGUAAGCACAGUGGAAUUGCCAGCACCCACAGAUAUGAGAGGUAAUGUGACCGUUUCCGGGCAGCAAUCAGAAUCCGGAAGAUAAAUGAGAAAGAUGCAGAAUUCGUCGACAAACAUUCUUUGCAUAGAAUUUCGAAGAACAAAAAAAAAACGGUUUUAUGUAUUUUAGCCAGCAGAAUGAUAACCACUUAAAUAUUUUCUUAAUUAUCCGGAAGGCAGCUGACUGGAGGUUCAUGGCGCUAUGAUUGGUUCAGAUUGGUUCCUGUUCCGAGAUGCUGCCGGAGGAAAGCUGCAGAAAGUGCAUUUUUAAAGCACCAUACAUUGAGCACUUUAGGCAUCGAGCCUCUUCAAAUACGCAAAAAGGUAAAAUGCAUUCACAGUAGGUGUUUUGUGAAAAUAAUCGACCGAAACCACUCAUCCAAAAUCUAUUGGGUCCAGGACUACGUCGAGAUGGCGUUCAAUCUCAUCGAGUACGUCGGCAAAAUGGAAAUAGUUGGGCUGUUGUAUGCCUUGAAAGCAGAGUUUAUUUUAUCGGGCCAGUUGAGGGAGAGUUUCCUAAAUUUUAAAAAUCAACUGCUGUUUAUUUUUUUUCGAUGCCAGAGAAACCUAGUUUUAUUUCGAAG